GGGAGAUAGUUUCGCGGGUUCGGGAGGCGAGUCUCCGGUUUCCGCCCAGUCUCUGGGGACGCGGUGGCGGGGUCUGAAUCGCCUGGCUUCCAGGGAGUUUUGGGCGGGUCCCCGCACGGGAGCGUGGCAGGCGCUGGACUCGACAGCAGAUGUGGAACUGGAGAGCUUGGCGCGCCCUCAUACUUUGUCACACACCUACGCCACCAGACUGGGGUCGGGCCCCUCCGCGUUCUGCUCUGGAGGGCCUGGGUCUGGGCCCAGCAUAGCGCUUUUAGAAUCUCCUCAGCUGAAUCUGACGCUCAGCCGUAGGUGAAGCUUAGCCCGCUGUUUCAGGCCCCGCCGAUCUGGAAGGAGUGUCAGAGCUGGAGCGCGCGUGGCCUCAUCGGUGUUGGGGUCACCCCGGGGUUGCCAGGGCUCAUGGAGGGUCGUAGUCUGGAUUUUGUCACCCCCACGUCCCCGCCCCGCAGCAAGUCUGGGGUUGGAGAACUCACGCGGUCUUCGUAAGCUACAUGCCAGUUGACCCUCGAGGAGGGAUGCUCCCUCCCCUUAAGCGUCCACGCUGGAGAAGGAGGUAAGAGUGAAGCUAUCCUGGACAAGAACUUUGACAGGACAAUACUAUUCACUCUGAAGGACCAAAAAAUGAGCAGAAAAUUUGGGAUAAAUGUCAACAAGAUUUGAACCCUAAAGAAAAGCAAGCAUCGAGUUAGACAGACGUCCAUAUUCAUUCAACUGGGAAAAUAAAACUGCAGUCCCAACAUCAGAAUUUCCUUGGUCAGUUGGUUAUUGCGGGACAGCAUUCUUCUGCAUGACAGUAUUGUCUCCUUACCAGCCACAGAGGAGGCUGUGAGAGAGAGGAUUUGGGAAAUUGGUGCAAAUGAGAAAUCUUGGAAAUCUAGAACUAAAGCCUUUCAGCAGGAAAUCCAGAUGCUCACUAAGUGACUAGAGCAGCUGCAUCAUCUUUAAGAAGAAGGUGCUCAAGAAUCAUCCCAAGCUGAAGAAAAAAGUAUUGGGAACAAAAAAGACCCUUGAAAUGUCUAGAAAGAAAAAUUGAGAUCAAGGACUUUUUCAAGAGAGAUUAGACUUGGACAGGAAGAAAAUGGAGUCUCACUCUGUCACCCAGGGUGGAGUGCAAUGGUGUGAUCUCGGCUCACUGCAACCUCCGCCUCCCAGGUUCAAGCGAUUUUCCUGCCUCAGCCUCCCAAGUAGCUGGGAUUACAGAAUUUGCAGAUUGCUACUACGCAAAGAUUGGAGGAGAAAAUUCAGAAACUUCAGAGACAGCUCAGUGAUUUGAAAUUGUCAAAUAAAAAUAUGAAAACUCAGCUGACAAGAGUAAAUGUCCUUAAAGACAAAACAAUUGAAGAGCUCAGGCAAUCUUUAGCAAAUGUUGAAAGGAUGAAAGAGAAGGCAAAUGUUGAAACGAUGAAAGAGAAGGCAGUUGUGAAAACAGAAAACUUGAAAACUACAUUAGACUCUGCAGAGCAAAAGGCAAGAUCAGACAAAGAGAAGACCCAGCAGAUGUUAGAUGCUGUCACUUCUGAGCCCCCAACAGCAAAGAGCGCACCUGAAGAAGUAUCAGGACAAGAACAAGAGGCCUAUCCAGAGAUUCCAGUUCAGUUUGUGGUAUGAGGCUGAAGUAUGGAUAUUUUUUUCAAAGCUCCUUAAGUAUAUAAAUUGAUAAAAUUACUUUGGAAGA
Molecule: long non-coding RNA, 1693 nt
Organism: Homo sapiens (human)
Lineage: Eukaryota; Metazoa; Chordata; Mammalia; Primates; Hominidae
Source: Ensembl